CGUGUGCUGCCAAAUUUGAUGUGACUGAUACCUGCAGCACGAGACCACGACGACACUAACACACACUCACCGGUGUGUGAGGGAGCUGUUACCGACAUUAAUCACCGGCCACAGAUACAGAUAAUGUGCACGUUAAUGUAAACUACGGUAUUUACCGACUACGCCCUCGGUACCGGAGCCCCGGAGCCCCGGAGCGGCGGCGGGACCGGAGCCACAUCAGCCCCGGGGCGGACAGGACAGGACAGGGAAAUCAACAUGUGGAGCUGCAGUCUGUGGGCUCUUCUUCCUCCAGUCUACUCUCUGAUCAUCGCUGCUGGACUCUGGCUGGUAUAUUUUAUAGCUGUCGCUGAAGAGAAGAUAAUACCUCUGGGCUCAAAAUACAAGAGAAGAAAUGGAUCCUAUUAUCCCUUCAUCAGUCUUGCAGGCAACUUUCCACCAGCCAGCUGCAUCUUCAGCGAGGUCAUGAACAUUGCUGCGUUUGUGGGUGAGACAGAGCAAUAUAUUGAUAUUUUUUAUGAUUAUGUGCAUACAUGUUUGUGCCAUAAGUUGAAUAAAGCCAACGGUCCAUUUUUAAAAACUUUUAUGCCUCUGUGCUGCAGAUAGGCGAGACCGGAGGCAUCAUGUUUUCGGGU
Plectropomus leopardus (leopard coralgrouper) is the source of this 632-nucleotide non-coding RNA. The record is from RefSeq and is a predicted model, not a curated record. NCBI's taxonomy places the organism in Eukaryota, Metazoa, Chordata, Actinopteri, Perciformes, Serranidae.